UGCCUAAUACAUGCAAGUCGAGCGAAUCGAUGGGAGCUUGCUCCCUGAGAUUAGCGGCGGACGGGUGAGUAACACGUGGGCAACCUGCCUAUAAGACUGGGAUAACUUCGGGAAACCGGAGCUAAUACCGGAUACGUUCUUUUCUCGCAUGAGAGAAGAUGGAAAGACGGUUUACGCUGUCACUUAUAGAUGGGCCCGCGGCGCAUUAGCUAGUUGGUGAGGUAAUGGCUCACCAAGGCGACGAUGCGUAGCCGACCUGAGAGGGUGAUCGGCCACACUGGGACUGAGACACGGCCCAG
RNAcentral lists this ribosomal RNA (299 nucleotides) under Bacillus sp. Bal3. RNAcentral's name for it is "partial 16S ribosomal RNA". It matches the Rfam family "Bacterial small subunit ribosomal RNA", at positions 45 to 334 of the family's 1533-position model. The record is from RNAcentral. Lineage: Bacteria; Bacillati; Bacillota; Bacilli; Caryophanales; Bacillaceae.